Molecule: ribosomal RNA, 253 nt
Filed under: uncultured bacterium
Lineage: Bacteria
Description: partial 16S ribosomal RNA
Rfam family: Bacterial small subunit ribosomal RNA
Source: RNAcentral
UACGUAGGGGGCAAGCGUUGUCCGGAAUCAUUGGGCGUAAAGCGCGUGUAGGCGGCCCGAUAAGUCCGCUGUGAAAGUCCAGGGCUCAACCCUGGGAUGCCGGUGGAUACUGUCGGGCUCGAGUCCGGAAGAGGCGAGUGGAAUUCCUGGUGUAGCGGUGAAAUGCGCAGAUAUCAGCAGGAACACCCGUGGCGAAGGCGCCCCCCUGGGCCGAUACUGACGCUGAGGCGCGAAAGCGUGGGGAGCAAACAGG